GCGUCCUUAGCUCAGCUGGAUAGAGUACCUGGCUACGAAGCAGGCGGUCGGAGGUUCGAAUCCUCCAGGACGCG
RNAcentral lists this transfer RNA (74 nucleotides) under Vibrio parahaemolyticus. Its description in RNAcentral is "tRNA-Arg". It matches the Rfam family "tRNA". From Rfam's summary of the family: Transfer RNA (tRNA) molecules are approximately 80 nucleotides in length. The record is from RNAcentral. Lineage: Bacteria; Pseudomonadati; Pseudomonadota; Gammaproteobacteria; Vibrionales; Vibrionaceae.